GCAGUGCACGCUCCUUGCGCGUCUGGCCGGCAGCACGGGAAGAGUUCGAAGCAAGAAAGCCUGAGGUGACAUCCUUUGCACAGGUGCGGCCAAGCGAUAUCGCAAACUUCAUGGAGGCCUUCAGCACGUUCAACUCUCAUCCGUGCAUCAACUGCACCUACUACGGGAACAUCUUCCACUCCCAGCUCCAUUCUGCGUGAGCCCGACGUGAGAUAAAUAUGCUCGAAAAAAAAAUUGACUACAAAAACAACUGAAAUAAAAAAAAUAUUCGAACAAAAUG
This is a long non-coding RNA of Rhipicephalus microplus (southern cattle tick), 280 nucleotides long. NCBI's taxonomy places the organism in Eukaryota, Metazoa, Arthropoda, Arachnida, Ixodida, Ixodidae. The record is from RefSeq and is a predicted model, not a curated record.